RNAcentral lists this small nuclear RNA (171 nucleotides) under Tropilaelaps mercedesae. RNAcentral's name for it is "U4 spliceosomal RNA". It matches the Rfam family "U4 spliceosomal RNA". From Rfam's summary of the family: U4 small nuclear RNA (U4 snRNA) is a component of the major U2-dependent spliceosome. The structure of U4 snRNA from yeast and human has been reported. The record is from Rfam by way of RNAcentral. Lineage: Eukaryota; Metazoa; Arthropoda; Arachnida; Mesostigmata; Laelapidae.
CUCUUUGCGCAGAGGCGGUAACGUACCCAAUGAGGUUUAACCGAGGGGCGUUUAUUGCUAGUUGAAAACUAAUAUUAAGCAGAUUAUGCCAUGCUUCGUGUUGCAGUGUUACAACCCCAUAGACCUUGAUUUACGCAACGUCGAUAAACUUUCUGGAGAAGUCAUGUAACA